Molecule: non-coding RNA, 75 nt
Organism: Rhamnusium bicolor
Lineage: Eukaryota; Metazoa; Arthropoda; Insecta; Coleoptera; Cerambycidae
Source: the annotation of a GenBank genome assembly
GGCUUCUUGGUCGUGUAGUAAGGAUACCUGCCUCUCACCCAGGAGUCCCGGGUUCAAUCCCUGGUCGAGAAGCUA